Molecule: ribosomal RNA, 499 nt
Filed under: uncultured Glomeromycotina
Lineage: Eukaryota; Fungi; Glomeromycota
Description: partial small subunit ribosomal RNA
Rfam family: Eukaryotic small subunit ribosomal RNA
Source: RNAcentral
CCAAUAGCGUAUAUUAAAGUUGCUGCAGUUAAAAAGCUCGUAGUUGAAUUUUGGGACCAAUAUGUCGGUCGUGCCUUGGUACGUACUGGCAUCGUUGGUUUCUCCCUUCUGAUGAACCAUGAUGUCAUUCAUUUGGUGUCGUGGGGAAUCAGGACUGUUACUUUGAAAAAAUUAGAGUGUUUAAAGCAGGCUCACGCUUGAAUACAUUAGCAUGGAAUAAUGAAAUAGGACGUUUGAUUCUAUUUUGUUUGUUUCUAGGAUCCACGUAAUGAUGAAUAGGGAUAGUUGGUGGUAUUAGUAUGCAAUUGUCAGAGGUGAAAUGCUUGGAUUUAUUGAAGACUAACUACUGCGAAAGCAUUUGCCAAGGAUGUUUUUAUUAAUCAAGAACGAAAGUUAGGAGAGCGAAGACGUUCAGAUACCGUCGUAGUCUUAACCAUAAACUAUGCCGACUAGGGAUCGGAUGAUGUUAAUUUUUUAAUGACUCAUUCGGCGCCUUACG